This 1986-nucleotide ribosomal RNA is filed under the name human gut metagenome. RNAcentral's name for it is "bacterial LSU rRNA". It matches the Rfam family "Bacterial large subunit ribosomal RNA", at positions 1 to 1980 of the family's 2925-position model. The record is from RNAcentral.
UUAAGAGAAUUAAGGGCACACGGUGGAUGCCUAGGUAAUAAGAGCCGAUGAAGGACGUGGUAAGCUGCGAUAAGCCUGGAGUAGUUGCAAUCGAACUUUGAUCCCAGGAUUUCCCAAUGGAGAAAUCUGCUAAGAUGGAGUCUUAGCGUGAAAACGGUAACCUGAUGAACUGAAACAUCUAAGUAGUCAGAGGAAAAGAAAGUAAAAACGAUUCCCUAAGUAGCGGCGAGCGAACGGGGACAAAGCCUAAAUCAUGUAAGUGUCAAGGAUGCAGCCGUUGCUUGCAUGAGGUAGUGGGAAGUUGCUUGAAGAACUGCAAGUUAUUCAGCGAUGUUAUUUCAACCAAUUAGAAUAAGCUGGAAAGCUUAACCAUAGAAGGUGAUAGUCCUGUAUAGGUAAAUUGGAAUAUGCGCGUGACUCUCCCGAGUAGCACGGAACACGAGGAAUUCUGUGUGAAUCUGCGAGGACCAUAUCUCGUAAGGCUAAAUACUCUUAUUAACCGAUAGCGUAUAGUACCGUGAGGGAAAGGUGAAAAGAACCCCGGGAGGGGAGUGAAAUAGAACCUGAAAUCGUGUGCUUACAAGCGGUCAGAGCCCUUCGGGGUGAUGGCGUGCCUUUUGGAGAAUGAUCCUGCGAGUUACGUUCAGUGGCGAGGUUAAGUAUACCGGAGCCGCAGGGAAACCGAGUCUUAAUAGGGCGCAUAGUCGCUGGGCGUAGACGCGAAACUUGGUGAUCUAAUCCUGUCCAGGGUGAAGCUGUGGUAAGACACAGUGGAGGCCCGAACUCACCGCCGUUGAAAAGUUGGGAGAUGAGAUAGGUUUAGGGGUGAAACGCCAAUCGAACUAAGAGAUAGCUCGUUCUCUCCGAAAUGCAUUUAGGUGCAGCCUUAGGAGAUAAAUUACGGGGGUAGAGCACUGAAUGGUCUAGGGGGCAUAUUGCUUACUGAAACCAACCAAACUCCGAAUACCGUAAUUCCCAUCCUAGGAGUGAGACUAUGGGUACUAAGAUCCAUGGUCAAAAGGGAAACAACCCAGACCGUCAGCUAAGGUCCCUAAUUAUAGCUAAGUGGGAAAGGAGGUGGAGAUUCACAAACAACCAGGAGGUUGGCUUAGAAGCAGCCAUACCUUUAAAGAGUGCGUAAUAGCUCACUGGUCGAGAGUCUCUGCGCCGACAAUGUAACGGGGCUAAGCUAUAAACCGAAGCUACGGAAUUAUGCGUAUGCAUAAUUGGUAGGAGAGCGUUCUGUAGGCUGUUGAAGGAGGACUGAUAAGGAACUCUGGAGGUAUCAGAAGUGAGAAUGCAGGAAUAAGUAGCGAGAAAGAGGGUGAGAAUCCUUCUCGCCGGAAGACCAAGGUUUCCAGGGUAAAGCUUGUCUUCCCUGGGUAAGCCGGGACCUAAGCUGAGGCUAUAAUGCGUAGGCGAAUGGAAAACAGAUUAAUAUUUCUGUGCCACUUAUAUAUUGUGAAGGAGGGACGCAGAAGGGUAUGUAAGCAGGAGAACGGAAGUUCCUGUGUAAGCAUGUAGAGUGAAACGGCAGGCAAAUCCGCUGUUUUAGACUUGAGGUGUGAUGCGUAGCCCAUUAGGGCGAAUUUACAGAUCCCACGCUGCCAAGAAAAGCUUCUAGCGUUAAUAUAUAAGUGCCCGUACUGUAAACCGACACAGGUGGUCAGAAUGAGAAAUUUAAGGCGGACAGGCUAACUCUCGCUAAGGAACUCUGCAAAAUGAAUCCGUAACUUCGGGAGAAGGAUUGCCCCUUUGUGUAGAGAGCUGUGCGCUCAAAGCAUGAGGGGGUCGCAGUGAAGAGGCUCAGGCAACUGUUUAACAAAAACAUAGGUCUAUGCUAAGCUGUAAGGCGAUGUAUAUGGGCUGACACCUGCCCAGUGCCGGAAGGUUAAGAGGAGGAGUGAGAGCUCCGAAUUGAAGCCCCGGUGAACGGCGGCCGUAACUAUAACGGUCCUAAGGUAGCGAAAUUCCUUGUCGGGUAAG